This 440-nucleotide ribosomal RNA is filed under the name uncultured bacterium. RNAcentral's name for it is "partial 16S ribosomal RNA". It matches the Rfam family "Bacterial small subunit ribosomal RNA", at positions 338 to 795 of the family's 1533-position model. The record is from RNAcentral.
CCUACGGGAGGCAGCAGUGGGGGAUAUUGCACAAUGGGGGGAACCCUGAUGCAGCGACGCAGCGUGGGGGAAGAAGGGCCUCGGCGUGUAAAGCCCUGUCAGCAGGGAAGAAAAUGACGGUACCUGAAGAAGAAGCUCCGGCUAACAACGAGCCAGCAGCCGCGGGAAUACGUAGGGGGCAAGCGUGAUCCGGAUGUACUGGGUGUAAAGGGGGCGCAGACGGCGAUGCAAGCAAGGAGUGAAAGCCCGGGGCCCAACCGCGGGACUGCUCUUGUAACUGCGUGGCUGGAGUGCAGGAGGGGCAGGCGGAAUUCCUGGUGUAGCGGUGAAAUGCGUAGAUAUAAGGAAGAACACCAGUGGCGAAGGCGGAUUACUGGACGAUAACUGACGGUGAGGCGCGAAAGCGUGGGGAGCAAACAGGAUUAGAUACCCUUGUAGUC